Fukomys damarensis (Damara mole-rat) is the source of this 1895-nucleotide long non-coding RNA. RefSeq lists it as uncharacterized. The transcript is spliced from 6 exons. NCBI's taxonomy places the organism in Eukaryota, Metazoa, Chordata, Mammalia, Rodentia, Bathyergidae. The record is from RefSeq and is a predicted model, not a curated record.
UGAGUUCAAGACCAGCCUGGGCUACAGUGUGAGUUCCAGAGGAAGGAAAGGCAGGGUCCUGUGGAGUCCGCGGACAAUCCAGAUUUGGAUCUCAGGCAGCCCCCACCUCUGGCUGCUGCUGCUGCUGCUCCCUGCCUGGUGGGAGACGGCACUAACGGGCUUUCUAGCACAUCCCCAGCUGGCAGAAGCUCUGGGAAGGGGAUAGAGGAAGCACUGGCAUGGUGAAGGGGGCUGCAGCUCACUGUGGCCUCCCGGAGUUUACAGUGAGAUCACCGGAGUACCAGACAAGAGUGCGUUAUCUGUUAGCCUGUGCUGCAGGCGUCAUGAAGUGCAUUCUCAUCAGCUGUGUCCCCAGAACAAGGUCUGUGGCAGGAUACAGGGCUCUGGACCAGUGACCAGCAUACAAAGACCUGACUUCUGGGGGCCUGUAGUACCAGGGAUUGAACUCGGGACCUUGCACAUGUGAAGCAGGCAGCAGAACCACUGAGCCAAAUCCCCGGCCCUACAGUGUUUGGAGCCGCUGCCUUCAUGUAGCUCCAAGACACUUCCAUCAGCCCAAAGAGAACCUCAUGCCCGCUGGCCGAGGCUACGCUGAGGUAGACACUGCAGCGCAGGUUCACACUGGCCCUGGAUGCAGAAGGUCGGCAGCUUCAGGGCAGCCUGGUGACGGGAGCCAAGGAGGCGGGGUCCUUUCCGGCCCCGCUCUUCAGUGAUGUCUCGUCAGACAUUGGGGCCUGAGGCCUGGCACGGGUGCCAACAGCAUCCUCUGAGAACAGCAUCUGCUUGUCACCCAGGUGGUCUGCGAUGCCCUGGUCCCCAGCACCUGUGGUGGAGAAGAGGCAGCCUUGGCAGCUAAAGGAGCAGACAAGCAGACAGGUGGACUCAAUACUUGGAAGUCUGAAGAGCUCCGGAUAAACGAGCAGGGUCAGCCCAGCAUGGCUGGGAGCCCGUUGUCCCCCUUCUAGUCUCAGUCACGACCAUGCUAUUUACAGCCUUCCUUGAUAUUUUCAUGCUCAGGAGUUCGUCUGCUUCUUGUAACUUGAUAGGUGUGGAGGUGACUCUUACCAACCCUGCCUGACAGGAGGCAACAAACAGGCUCAGGGACACAAGGGACUUGCCCCAGGUCACUCAGUGAAGCUCUGCCUUCUGACGUUCGAUGUCCUGUUGCACAGUGAACAACUCAGGAAAGGCUCCUCUUUCUGUCCCUGUAAACCCAGCCAUGGCUUGGCUGUGGCCAAGGUGGAUGUCAUCCUCCAGCGGCUCCCGGGUGACGGCCACACCCAUCACUCAGAACCUGCCACAGGCUGGGCACUCUGUCAGCGACUUCCAGAGGGAGACAUGGUUAUCCCCACUUCACACAGGAGGGAAAGGAGACACCUACGAGUUAAGAAAUGUGCCCGCCUACUGACUGCGGGGGCUCAUGCUCCAAGUCCCAGCUACUUGGGAGGCUGAGACAAGAGGAUCGCUGGAGCACAGGAGUUCAGUGCUAGUCUGGACAACGUCGGAGAGCUUGUCUCUAAGAACAAAACAAAAACAAAAACAAGGAACUUGCGCAAUGUCACACAGCUAGAACCAGCCCUGCAACCCACGUGUUUGUUUUUUAAAUGUAGAUAUGACCCCCUGCUAGAACACAGUCACCACGUCAAAGUGAAACAUUGGCCUGUUUCCCUCUCUUCCUGUUUCCGGUGGUACCCUGGACGGACACCUGACUGGAGUGUUAGUUGUGCUCCUCGUGGUUUUGAAGACGUGAUUCUUAACCUGCAGCGAACAGUGUCUGCGGGUGAGCGCUCAAUGGCAGGUUCUUGGGAAUCACCCCAGCUGUCUGAACUGCAGAGGCACAGAGCCGCUGGACAGCUGCAACUAGGCCACACACCGAGAGGUCCCACAGGAGAUUU